GCAAGUUGGAAAGCCAGAACAGUGGCAUGCCUAUUUUAAUGAUGUGUGUGUAUAAGUUUCUUCAUAGAUAGACCAGGAAUAUAAGACCCUCUGAAUGGCUGUAAAGGAAAAAUGUUACAGAUGCAUGACUUGGACAAAGUCUGGUGGACAACUGCCUACUCACAACUAGCCAUGAAGAAAAGCACUGAACUCCACUUAGGAAAGUGCUAAUGGCUUUCAGCCACCAUCUAGCCUGAAAACACUUCCUGCAGCAAGAUGGUCCAGUUUAAAGGAUACAGCUUGGGGGAUGCAGCAUCUUUACCUCAUUGAGAGGACCAACAGCUGCCCAGGCAUGGCUCACAUAAAGGAGGGGUUGUCCUUGGGUGGCAGGUUCACAGCACAUGAAGUACACACAAAGGGCACUGCAAUCCCGCAACUCCAGGUCCCAGAACAGAGCAGGAUGCCGAGCGGACUCUGAUCAGCUAUGAUGUAAACCCAGUACCUCCACUGUUCCCCCUCCAAGGACUUUCAAUCUUUCUGAGAGCCAAUUAUAAAUAAUUUCAUGUAAUACUACACAAGUAUGUAUUUUAUCUCCAUUCUCAAACUCUGGCAAAAUGUCAGUUUUGUCAGAGAGUUGCCUCUCUUGAUCAUUUUCAAAGAUCAGUUUUAUAGUUUACUGAUCUUGUAUUGUUUCCC
Molecule: long non-coding RNA, 675 nt
Filed under: Fukomys damarensis (Damara mole-rat)
Lineage: Eukaryota; Metazoa; Chordata; Mammalia; Rodentia; Bathyergidae
Description: lncRNA (ENSFDAG00000022734.1)
Source: RNAcentral